Long non-coding RNA from Sceloporus undulatus (fence lizard), 686 nucleotides. RefSeq lists it as uncharacterized. The transcript is spliced from 4 exons. Lineage: Eukaryota; Metazoa; Chordata; Lepidosauria; Squamata; Phrynosomatidae. The record is from RefSeq and is a predicted model, not a curated record.
GCGAGGAGUGCUGCUGACCCAGAGAGAGCUGAGAAGCAGUCAGGCAUCCAGUGAUGUGGCAGGCGGACUUUGACAGGUGCCUUUGGGGAUGUGCCAAGCUGAGCCCAGAGGGAGAGAAAAGAUGGUGGUCUCAUUUUUAAGCAGGUCUGUGUAGGAAUCUGGAACAAUUUUAGCACUAAGAAAAAACAAAGAAAAAACGUCUACAGAAGACCUAGAUGGACCGUUGGGUUCCACCACCAAAGCAACCCUGGCCACGAGGGAGCCAUACUGCCUGGACUGAGGGCUACAGGAGGGGCCCAUGGCCUCCACCUCCAUAUUCAAGGCAUAACAAUGAGUGGAUGUACCACCAUGAACCCUGGCCGGGGCUGCAACUAAAUGCCCAAGUGGAAUACCACCAUCCCACACAUCAUUCAGCAUUUAUGAGACCAAAUUCUGGGGCAGAGUAUUAUGAAAGCAGUUAUCCCAAUUGGCCACAUUCAAGGCAAGGUUAUGAGGAUUUGAAUCGCAGAUUGGUGGAGGAUUAUACAUAUGGAAGCGCCCAAAGAUAUCCUCAAGCUCAGCAUGGUGAAAGAGUAUGUAGACCGAGGAGAGAGAGAUACCUGGGGCACAGGUGCAAAUUCCUGGAUCCAAAAUUACAGCGGAGAUUACCAUCCAAGCAGUGGAUUUGUAGGACGUAAUGAUUUGAC